Non-coding RNA from Diplogelasinospora grovesii, 93 nucleotides. The record is from the annotation of a GenBank genome assembly. Lineage: Eukaryota; Fungi; Ascomycota; Sordariomycetes; Sordariales; Diplogelasinosporaceae.
AGUCCCGUGGUGUAGUGGUUAGCACUUCGUUCUUAUACCUUCACGAAAGUGGAAGAUAUGCGAAGGUCGUGGGUUCAAUCCCCACCGGGACUA